This 1353-nucleotide ribosomal RNA is filed under the name Triticum aestivum (bread wheat). RNAcentral describes it as "partial small subunit ribosomal RNA". The record is from RNAcentral. Lineage: Eukaryota; Viridiplantae; Streptophyta; Magnoliopsida; Poales; Poaceae.
AUGUCUGAGAGGCUCAACUACGAAGAAAACAUCGAAACGGCAGCGGCCGGCGGCGAGGACCGUGUAGGCACCUUGCCGGACCAGCUCCUGCAGACGAGCUUUCGUGGAGGCAACCUGCUCGACAGAAUGUCCAAGAGGCAUCACGACGAGGGAAACAUGGAAAGGGCGGUGGCUGGUGGCGAGGACCGCAUCAGCGCCCUCCCGGACGAACUCCUCCAGUACAUGAUGUCAUUCCUGCUUUCCCGCGACGCCGUGCGGACAUGCGUGCUCGCUAGGCGCUGGCGCAUGCUCUGGAAGUCCGUGCCCUCCCUACGCAUUGAUGAUCCCGAGAGCUACCACGGCGCUACGGGCUCCAGCUUGUUUGUCAAUGAGCUGCUUCGUCUCCGUGACCCAACGCCUCUGAAUACAUGUGACAUCCGUUCUGGUUGUCAGGAGACUGCGAACACCAAUUGGGCCAAGGAGGCAUUCCGACACAUGGAACCAUGGCUCCUGUAUGCUUUAUCCUGUCAAGUUCCAGUGCUUCGAAUUUGUUUUCCCUGGCGGGUAAUCAACAUGACUCUUGUCUCAUCGCACUUGAAGAGGUUACAUCUUUACCGCAUGCGAUUUGAGGGAUGCUCUCUGGAUUUUUCGAGCUGUCAGGUGCUACAGGUGUUAGAGAUGAAAGCUUGUCAUAUCCAUGUGAAUCUCUUGUCCCAGUCAUUACGAUUUCUUAAAAUUCACUACACGAGUUUUGGUUUUGAUCCACGCACUCGUAUUUCUGCCCCAAAUCUCAUUGGCUUCAGACUAGCUCCAUUUUACGGUUUGGCUCCUUUGCUUGAUAGCAUGCCAUCACUGGUAGCAGCAUCUAUUACACUUGGAGAAAUGUGCGAGGAAAUGUGUUACUGUGGAAAUCUAUCAUGUGGGGGAUGCGAUGCUCAAGCCGGUAACAACGACUAUCCUGUGGCUCUCCAAGGUUUGUCAGGUGCUACGAAUUUGAAGUUGACAGCAAUAUCUUAUCCGAUAAGGCUGUCUGUUUUGAGAAUGGAUUUGACAUGGCGCCCCAUGUUCAGGAAGCUAAAAAAGUUGUUGCUCAAUGAGUGGUGUGUGGCUGAUGAUUUCACUGGAUUGAUUUACUUUCUCCAGCACUCACCCAUUCUAGAGACACUGAUACUAAAGCUUGAUUUGCAAACUUCUGAGGAUUAUCAUUUGAACGAAAUUGAUGGAAGUUGUAACUCAAGGGAACAAUCAUUGCUAUCACAACAUCUCAAGGUAGUCAAAAUUAUAUGUGGCACGCAGGAAGAUGUGAUAGUUCACCGUAUUUCAAAGAUCCUAUGUGCCCAUGGAGUACCUUCUGAGCAAAUUCAGAUAGAAUAG